GCGGAGGAAAGUCCUACAAAAGGGGAAAAAGAAAGCAGACGCAGGAAGGCGUUAGCAAGAGAAGCAGACUGACUUUCACUUCACAAAAGGACUUGUUUUUAGUACAAUCGCUCCAUCACUUACGUCCCAGCCUACGCUGAUGCGAGCUUGCGGCAGCACCGGUGAAGACGGUUCCGGCUCGAACGGGGCAAUGCCUUGCCGUGCCAUGAGCGCUACGAUCAGCGUGGCCGUCAGCAAGCCGCCCAAGACACCGAGCAACA
Long non-coding RNA from Anopheles merus, 260 nucleotides. RefSeq lists it as uncharacterized. The record is from RefSeq and is a predicted model, not a curated record. The transcript has 2 exons. Lineage: Eukaryota; Metazoa; Arthropoda; Insecta; Diptera; Culicidae.